CCUCCGGGGGGCAGCAGUGGGGAAUAUUGGUCAAUGGGCGGAAGCCUGAACCAGCCAUGCCGCGUGCAGGAAGACGGCCCUACGGGUUGUAAACUGCUUUUGUACCGGAAUAAACCUCUUUACGUGUAGAGAGAUGUACGGUAAGAAUAAGGAUCGGCUAACUCCGUGCCAGCAGCCGCGGUAAUACGGAGGAUCCGAGCGUUAUCCGGAUUUAUUGGGUUUAAAGGGUGCGUAGGUGGCUUUUUAAGUCAGGGGUGAAAGACGGUAGCUUAACUAUCGCAGUGCCUUUGAUACUGAAGAGCUUGAAUACACUAGAGGUAGGCGGAAUGUGACAAGUAGCGGUGAAAUGCAUAGAUAUGUCACAGAACACCAAUUGCGAAGGCAGCUUACUAUGGUGUAUUGACACUGAGGCACGAAAGCGUGGGGAUCAAACAGGAUUAGAUACCCCUGUAGUC
This 455-nucleotide ribosomal RNA is filed under the name uncultured bacterium. RNAcentral's name for it is "partial 16S ribosomal RNA". It matches the Rfam family "Bacterial small subunit ribosomal RNA", at positions 338 to 795 of the family's 1533-position model. The record is from RNAcentral.